This 484-nucleotide ribosomal RNA is filed under the name uncultured bacterium. RNAcentral's name for it is "partial 16S ribosomal RNA". It matches the Rfam family "Bacterial small subunit ribosomal RNA", at positions 30 to 507 of the family's 1533-position model. The record is from RNAcentral.
AUUGAACGCUGGCGGCAUGCUUUACACAUGCAAGUCGAACGGUAACAGGGAGCUUGCUCCGCUGCCGAGUGGCGAACGGGUGAGUAAUAUAUCGGAACGUACCCAAGAGUGGGGGAUAACGUAGCGAAAGUUACGCUAAUACCGCAUACGAUCUAAGGAUGAAAGCAGGGGACCUUCGGGCCUUGUGCUCCUGGAGCGGCCGAUAUCUGAUUAGCUAGUUGGUGAGGUAAAGGCUCACCAAGGCGACGAUCAGUAGCUGGUCUGAGAGGACGACCAGCCACACUGGAACUGAGACACGGUCCAGACUCCUACGGGAGGCAGCAGUGGGGAAUUUUGGACAAUGGGCGCAAGCCUGAUCCAGCAAUGCCGCGUGAGUGAAGAAGGCCUUCGGGUUGUAAAGCUCUUUUGUCAGGGAAGAAACGGGAUUGGCUAAUAUCCAGUCCUAAUGACGGUACCUGAAGAAUAAGCACCGGCUAACUACGUG